This 565-nucleotide ribosomal RNA is filed under the name uncultured Glomeromycotina. RNAcentral describes it as "SSU rRNA". It matches the Rfam family "Eukaryotic small subunit ribosomal RNA", at positions 548 to 1114 of the family's 1831-position model. The record is from RNAcentral. Lineage: Eukaryota; Fungi; Glomeromycota.
UUGGAGGGCAAGUCUGGUGCCAGCAGCCGCGGUAAUUCCAGCUCCAAUAGCGUAUAUUAAAGUUGUUGCAGUCAAAAAGCUCGUAGUUGAAUUUCGGGGUCAGUAGGUUGGUCAUGCCACAGGUAUGUGCUGGUCUCACUGAUUCCUCCUUCCUGAUGAACUGUAAUGCCAUUAAUUUGGUGUUGCAGGGAAUCUGGACUGUUACUUUGAAAAAAUUAGAGUGUUUAAAGCAGGCUAACGCCUGAAUACAUUAGCGUGGAAUAGUGAAAUAGGACGUUCGAUCCUAUUUUGUUGGUUUCUAGGAUUGACGUAAUGAUUAAUAGGGAUAGUUGGGGGCAUUAGUAUUCAAUUGUCAGAGGUGAAAUUCUUGGAUUUAUUGAAGACUAACUACUGCGAAAGCAUUUGCCAAGGAUGUUUUCAUUAAUCAAGAACGAAAGUUAGGGGAUCGAAGACGAUCAGAUACCGUCGUAGUCUUAACCAUAAACUAUGCCGACUAGGGAUCGGAUGAUGUUAAUUUUUUAAUGACUCAUUCGGCGCCUUACGGGAAACCAAAGUGUUUGGGUUC